Molecule: long non-coding RNA, 124 nt
Organism: Etheostoma cragini (Arkansas darter)
Lineage: Eukaryota; Metazoa; Chordata; Actinopteri; Perciformes; Percidae
Exons: 2
Source: RefSeq, a predicted model, not a curated record
UCCAAUGUCUUUGUGUUGUUGUCUCAUGAGGAUGGCUAAGUUACUGUAAGAUUUUAUGCGACAUGCAAUAAUACAAUGAAAGAUGCUUGACUUUUACAAUGACAUAAUAGCAUGUGAAUAACCU